This 109-nucleotide ribosomal RNA is filed under the name Sinocyclocheilus rhinocerous. Lineage: Eukaryota; Metazoa; Chordata; Actinopteri; Cypriniformes; Cyprinidae. The record is from RNAcentral.
GCUUGCGGCCAUACCACCUUGUCUGUGCCCGCUCUCGGAAGCUAAACAGGGUUGUGUCUGGUUAGUACUUGGAUGGGAGACCGCCUGGGCAUACCUGGUGCUGUAAGAU